UGAGCAGUGGGGGACAGCCCAGAGAAAUUUGGAUUAAUACCCCAUAUAAUUAUAGAGUGGCAUCACUUAAUAAAUAAAGAUCCUCACAAGGGAUUGCUCUUAGAUGGGUGUGCGUCUGAUUAGGUAGUUGGUUGAGGUAACGGCUCACCAAGCCUUCGAUCAGUAACUGGUGUGAGAGCACGACCAGUCACACGGGCACUGAGACACGGGCCCG
Molecule: ribosomal RNA, 214 nt
Filed under: uncultured bacterium
Lineage: Bacteria
Description: partial 16S ribosomal RNA
Rfam family: Bacterial small subunit ribosomal RNA
Source: RNAcentral